RNAcentral lists this transfer RNA (73 nucleotides) under Tupiella akineta. Its description in RNAcentral is "tRNA-Gln". It matches the Rfam family "tRNA". Rfam says of the family: Transfer RNA (tRNA) molecules are approximately 80 nucleotides in length. Their secondary structure includes four short double-helical elements and three loops (D, anti-codon, and T loops). Lineage: Eukaryota; Viridiplantae; Chlorophyta; Ulvophyceae; Ulotrichales; Tupiellaceae. The record is from RNAcentral.
UGGGACGUGGCCUAAUUGGUAGGGCAAUUCGUUUUGGUCGAAAAGAUUGUUAGUUCGAGUCUAACCGUCCCAG